Daphnia carinata is the source of this 459-nucleotide long non-coding RNA. RefSeq lists it as uncharacterized. NCBI's taxonomy places the organism in Eukaryota, Metazoa, Arthropoda, Branchiopoda, Diplostraca, Daphniidae. The record is from RefSeq and is a predicted model, not a curated record. The transcript is spliced from 3 exons.
UUGAGAAAGCUUAUUUUGUCUAGCUUAUUUGUCGGGCUUAUUUUUAAGCCUAACUUCUUGAAUACCGAGAGCUUUUGAGUGAAGUCAAACUUGAUUCCUUACCAAUAAAUGGCUACACUGUUUGGUGGGUAGUCUGCGGUAUAAAUUCAAGGUGAUGGCAUUCGUGUUACGCUUAAGUCAAGAUCUACUCUACUAUGGGAUAAAUUUUUCGUAGAAUCUACUAGAGCUAUGUGUUGCAGUGUCAUGCUGAUGUGACGUGACACUACUGGUGGCUGGGGUUAACUAGGGACACAUCUUUUCCAUUUUCCCAUCCAAUCUGCGAAACAACUUUGAUUGUUUGUUAUAACUACACCAACAUUCCCUUCGUAACCCAACAAUACAAAACUAACCAUUGUAAACCCGAAAGACAACCAGCCAUCUCUCUGUUUUCAUUUGGUUUUUGCUUAGUAUCUUCCUGUG